This 312-nucleotide unclassified non-coding RNA is filed under the name air metagenome. RNAcentral's name for it is "partial contains small subunit ribosomal RNA, internal transcribed spacer 1, and 5.8S ribosomal RNA". The stretch from base 1 to 46 matches the Rfam family "Eukaryotic small subunit ribosomal RNA", at positions 1786 to 1831 of the family's 1831-position model. The record is from RNAcentral.
AAGUCGUAACAAGGUUUCCGUAGGUGAACCUGCGGAAGGAUCAUUAUUGAAUUUUUGGGGGUUGUAGCUGACUGUUUCAGAGUAUGUGCUCGCCUUCAACUCUUCUCUUUACCACCUGUGCACCUUUGUAGUCUCUUGAUACCUCUCAAAGAGUUCAUUCUCUUUGGAUUGAUGGACUUGCCUUCAUUGGCUUGUCUUCUAUUUCAUGAGACUAUGUCUUACAAACUCUAUACAAAACCAGAAUGUCUUUUGUAGUGUCUUUAUAUGACCUAUAAACUUAUACAACUUUUAACAACGGAUCUCUUGGCUCUC